This 81-nucleotide small nucleolar RNA is filed under the name Carlito syrichta (Philippine tarsier). RNAcentral's name for it is "Small nucleolar RNA SNORD115 (ENSTSYG00000030032.1)". It matches the Rfam family "Small nucleolar RNA SNORD115". From Rfam's summary of the family: HBII-52 is a member of the C/D class of snoRNAs, which contain the C (UGAUGA) and D (CUGA) box motifs. HBII-52 is encoded in a tandemly repeated array with another C/D snoRNA, HBII-85, in the Prader-Willi syndrome (PWS) region of chromosome 15. The record is from Rfam by way of RNAcentral. Lineage: Eukaryota; Metazoa; Chordata; Mammalia; Primates; Tarsiidae.
GGGUCAAUGAUGAAAACUUUGCCUUGUCUCUAGAAAGGUGUGGUCUUAAAAGUCUUGUACAAUAGAGUUACGCUGAGGGCU